This 482-nucleotide ribosomal RNA is filed under the name uncultured bacterium. RNAcentral describes it as "partial 16S ribosomal RNA". It matches the Rfam family "Bacterial small subunit ribosomal RNA", at positions 29 to 507 of the family's 1533-position model. The record is from RNAcentral.
AUUGAACGCUGGCGGCAUGCUUUACACAUGCAAGUCGAACGGUAACAGGCCGCGAGGUGCUGACGAGUGGCGAACGGGUGAGUAAUGCAUCGGAACGUGCCCAGUCGUGGGGGAUAACUACUCGAAAGAGUAGCUAAUACCGCAUACGAUCUAUGGAGGAAAGCGGGGGAACGUAAGGCAUCGCGGGAUUGGAGGGGCCGAUGUCAGAUUAGGUAGGUGGGGGGGUAAAGGCUCACCAAGCCAACGAUCUGUAGCUGGUCUGAGAGGACGACCAGCCACACUGGGACUGAGACACGGCCCAGACUCCUACGGGAGGCAGCAGUGGGGAAUUUUGGACAAUGGGCGCAAGCCUGAUCCAGCAAUGCCGCGUGCAGGAAGAAGGCCUUCGGGUUGUAAACUGCUUUUGUACGGAACGAAACGGCUCUGGUUAAUACCCGGGGCUAAUGACGGUACCGUAAGAAUAAGCACCGGCUAACUACGUG